This 468-nucleotide ribosomal RNA is filed under the name uncultured bacterium. Its description in RNAcentral is "partial 16S ribosomal RNA". It matches the Rfam family "Bacterial small subunit ribosomal RNA", at positions 28 to 507 of the family's 1533-position model. The record is from RNAcentral.
GACGAACGCUGGCGGCGUGCUUAACACAUGCAAGUCGAACGGAAAGGCCCUGCUUUUGUGGGGUGCUCGAGUGGCGAACGGGUGAGUAACACGUGAGUAACCUGCCCUUGACUUUGGGAUAACUUCAGGAAACUGGGGCUAAUACCGGAUAGGAGCUCCCGCUGCAUGGUGAGGGUUGGAAAGUUUCGGCGGUUGGGGAUGGACUCGCGGCUUAUCGGCUUGUUGGUGGGGUAGUGGCUUACCAAGGCUUUGACGGGUAGCCGGCCUGAGAGGGUGACCGGGCACAUUGGGACUGAGAUACGGCCCAGACUCCUACGGGAGGCAGCAGUGGGGAAUAUUGCACAAUGGGCGGAAGCCUGAUGCAGCAACGCCGCGUGCGGGAUGACGGCCUUCGGGUUGUAAACCGCUUUCGCCUGUGACGAAGCGUGAGUGACGGUAAUGGGUAAAGAAGCACCGGCUAACUACGUG